This 75-nucleotide transfer RNA is filed under the name Rhizoctonia solani AG-1 IB. RNAcentral describes it as "tRNA-Lys". It matches the Rfam family "tRNA". Rfam says of the family: Transfer RNA (tRNA) molecules are approximately 80 nucleotides in length. Their secondary structure includes four short double-helical elements and three loops (D, anti-codon, and T loops). Further hydrogen bonds mediate the characteristic L-shaped molecular structure. tRNAs have two regions of fundamental functional importance: the anti-codon, which is responsible for specific mRNA codon recognition, and the 3' end, to which the tRNAs corresponding amino acid is attached (by aminoacyl-tRNA synthetases). tRNAs cope with the degeneracy of the genetic code in two manners: having more than one tRNA (with a specific anti-codon) for a particular amino acid; and 'wobble' base-pairing, i.e. permitting non-standard base-pairing at the 3rd anti-codon position. The record is from RNAcentral. Lineage: Eukaryota; Fungi; Basidiomycota; Agaricomycetes; Cantharellales; Ceratobasidiaceae.
GCCUGGCUAGCUCAAUCGGUAGACCGUGAGACUCUUACCAUCUCAAGGUUGUGGGUUCGACCCCCACGUUAGGCU